UACAGAGGGGGCAAGCGUUGUUCGGAAUUACUGGGCGUAAAGGGCGCGUAGGCGGCUUGCUAAGUCGGACGUGAAAUCCCUGGGCUCAACCCAGGAACUGCGUCCGAUACUGGUUGGCUUGAAUCCGGGAGAGGGAUGCGGAAUUCCAGGUGUAGCGGUGAAAUGCGUAGAUAUCGGGAGGAACACCCGUAGCGAAGGCGGUUCUCUGGGCCAAUACUGACGCUGAGGAGCGAAAGCGUGGGGAGCAAACAGG
RNAcentral lists this ribosomal RNA (253 nucleotides) under uncultured bacterium. Its description in RNAcentral is "partial 16S ribosomal RNA". It matches the Rfam family "Bacterial small subunit ribosomal RNA", at positions 524 to 776 of the family's 1533-position model. The record is from RNAcentral.